Coffea arabica (coffee) is the source of this 6827-nucleotide non-coding RNA. NCBI's taxonomy places the organism in Eukaryota, Viridiplantae, Streptophyta, Magnoliopsida, Gentianales, Rubiaceae. The record is from RefSeq and is a predicted model, not a curated record.
GUAAUACUUAUCAGUGCCACGCCCACCAUCCCUCGUCCCCACCACACGCGCAAAAAUCAAAGAGAGUUCCUUAUAACAAAAUAGUGAGCCCUUACCGACUGCUACCAGUACUACUUUCUCACUGCAAAAAGUCUUGCAUGUACGAGUUCUUUCAUUUUGGUUGAAAUCAUCAUCUUCCUCGGAAUGUUCUUCUUUUUCUUGAACUUAAUUUUGAGUGAGUAGGUGCAAGAUAUACUGGGAAUUUUUUUGCAUAUUCACUAGAUCACCAGCUAUUGCCAGGGAUUUCAUUUUCUCUCAAAUUCAACAGAUCACUUGUUGCCAUAGCGGUCAUUCUCUCCAAACUUAUGCCUGUUGUAUCGAUGCGAGCUUCCCUUGACAAAGUUUCGAGAGGAAGAAGGUACCAUGACGAACAUCUCCUUCAGCAGUAGCACUAGUUGCUUCGAUGUUGCUCGGGAGUAUCUGGACGACUUAGACGGUGCGUCCAAAUGUCUGUUCGAAUCUCAUAUCUGGGAGCUGAAGAUGGGGAUAAGUCUAUUGGAAACAUUUGAUCUGUAUAUUAGAAAGUUUAGGAGGAAGAGGAGCAAAGAGUGUAUGUGUUUGGAAUAUGAUAAGGAGGACAGGGGUGAUGCUGAGUCUGACAGUUUGAGGCUCAGCAGUAUCUCUUUCAGGAUUCAGGAUCUGGUUAGUGGAAUAAAGCAUGAACUUGGCUCAGCAGUAUCGCUUGAUGACACCAAACGCAAGCUCGGCAGAUUCGAGGAAAAUAUGCGGUUGAUUUUUGAUUCAGACAUCAAGGAAUCCAACAUCUGUAGUUUAUUGCUUCACAACUUGCUUGGAGAUUUCCAACUGGUUAUGGAUAUCACUGAUUCCAUUUUAGAGAAUCUGAGGCAUCUUUGCACCAGAAAUUACAGGGAUGAUGGAGCUCUGCAAAGUGUAAUGGGAACCCUUCAAGAGAAGCUAAUGUUCUUGAAGAGUUUCAUUUGCUUUGCAACAUUACAUGGUGUUAAGGGUCAGCAAUUAGUAGAUCUGUUAGUUCACAUUGAAGUUGUGGCCAUUAAUGCUGCAAGCCUGAUCUCUACAUCUUGGUUUCAGAGAAAUGAUGAAAAGGUGUGCAACGAGAUGGAAUCUGAAAUUUCUCAACUGAUACAAAAGAAGAUUGAUCCCGUUGAUCUCCAAGUCCGAGAAACUUAUAUCCACGUCUUGACAGCGUCCAAGUUGUCACCAUCAUCACACACUUUAGCCCUGGAGAAGAAUAAGCACCUAGUGGCCGAAUUUAUUGAUGAUCUUUUACAUAUUAUUAUGGAGCUAACAGAAUCUUACACCAGUUUCUUGGUUCCGGUGAAGGAUCAAUUACUAAAACUUUAUGAGGGAGCAAGAUUCCUGAGUGUCCUUCUCAGCCAGCAGCACGAGAAAUUCGAUAAGCUAAAUGAUGAAAUGAAGGAUCGUAUUGGAUUUGUACUCUGUGAUGCUGGAAUUGUGAUUUUCUCCCUUUAUAAGAGUGAAAUGACAGAAAGCUUGCCCAAGGAAAUAGAUCUUGUGGCUUCUCAUAUGCUCGAACUGCUCAAGCUCAUUAUUCCAGAAAUUGAACAGAUUUGUCCACAACAACCACCAUCAUCAUCAAUUAGUUUCCCUAGGACUAAUGAGCUGGGCUCUAUUGAUUUUCUUUUAGAAACUCUCGAGGAACUUGAAAGUUCUACAGCUAAUUCAAUUGCUUUCCCAAAUAAUCAAAUCCACACAGUUCGUGAAGAUCUUGAUUUCUUAAGACCUUUCCUAGGCAAGAUUGCAGAGCAGCGGAAGGGGAAUGAAAAACUCCAAGCUCUUUGGAGUCGUAUUAGUGAGCUGGCAUACAGGGCAGAAAUAAUCAUUGACUCUACACUACUUGGUGGCAAACAUCAACAUUGUUUGGAUGUUAUUGCUGGAGAUAUCAAGCUUAUGAAGAUUGAGGCCAAAGAGAUUUAUGAUAACAUACGAUUUGACUGUGAAACCCAGAGUAUUGUCAAGACUACAAUUCACAUGCCAUCACAAGUUACUGCUCCAAUAUUUAAUGAAGCUGUGGUGGGUCUCAAUGAUGAGGGGGAAAUUAUAAUUGAUGGACUUGUAAGGGGACCAAGCCGGUUGGAUAUUGUUGCCAUUGUGGGUAUGCCUGGUCUUGGUAAGACAACAUUAGCCAAUAAAGUUUAUGGUGAUCCAUUGGUAAAGUCCCACUUUCACAUUCGUUCUUGGUGUUGUUUUUCUCGAGCAUAUACCAAGCAUAGUUUGUUAGUUCAAAUGUUGUGUAAUAUCGAUUGUGGGAACUCAGCUGGAUAUCUUCGGAGAGAUGAAGAUUACAUGGCUAACAGGCUACGCAAAUUGUUGAAGGGAAAUAGGUAUCUCAUAGUUCUGGAUGAUGUUUGGGACAUUCGGGGUUGGGAUUUAUUGAAACUCUCACUGCCAGAUGAUUGCAAUGGAAGCAGGAUUCUCUUAACCAGUAGAUUGCAGGAAUUGUCAUUGCAAAUUAAACUUGAUAGUGAGCCUCACCAUCUUCGCCCACUUACAGAUAAUGAAAGCUGCGAAUUGCUGCAGAAAAAGCUAUUUGCCAAAGAAGAUUGUCCUCCAAUAUUAAGUAAUGUUUUACUGCAUGCAGCAAAAAACUGUAAAGGCCUACCUCUCACAGUUGUCCUUGUUGCCGGAAUUCUUGCUACUACUGAGCAAGAUUGCUGGGAAGAAGUUGUAAAACAUUUAACUUCCAGCAUUUUUGUUGACAAUGAAUAUUGCAUGAAGACAAUUGAAUUAAGUUACAAUAAUUUACCAGAUUAUUUGAAACCAUGCCUUCUUUACUUCGGUGCAUUUCAAGAAGACCAAGAAAUUCCUAUCCGAAGGUUGUUAUGGAUUUGGAUCUCUGAAGGAUUCGUGCAAAAGACUGAAGGAAAGAGCUUAGAGGAUGUGGCAGAUGACUAUUUGAUGGAUCUGGUUAGGAGAAGUUUAGUUAUGGCUACCCAACAAAGAUCUUCAGGUGGGAUCAAAGCUUGCCGAAUCCAUGAUUUGGUACAUGAGUUUUGCGUGGCGAAAGCUAAAGAAGAAAGUUUUCUACAGAUUUUACAUGUGGGUAACCUUUUAACUUUUACUGGACCAUGUAACCUCCAUCGAUUGUCUAUUCACCCCACCAUGACUAUGGGGCCUACAAAAUCAAGACUGUUUUCUCCCAAUUUGCGUUGUUUGCUCUUCUGUGGUGAUAGUCAUACACAGCUGGAUAAGAAUUCAUUCAAAUUUCUGCUGUCUAAACUUCUUAGAGUGCUGGAUUUCUGGAACAAUUCUUAUCCGACUUCAUAUUUUCCAAGGGAAGUAGUAUUCCUCGUUCACUUGAGGUACUUGAGAAUUGGAAGGUUUGCUGGGGAUAUCCCAUCUGCAAUAGCCAACCUCUCAAGGUUAGAAACUUUUGUAGUAGAAGCACGCGCUGAAGAUUAUGUGUUACCAAACACUAUCUGGAACAUUGAAACAUUGAGGCAUCUUGUCACAUCAUUGCCCGCCUGUGGUUUCAUAUUUCCCAAGGACAAUCUUGAAGGCUCCCCUGAUUUAAAACAUUUAGACACUUUAAGUCUUGCAAUGAAUCCCUAUUCUCAAAGUGCACAAAAGAUACUGUCAAAGUUACAGAGCACCCGCAGGCUAACAAUAGCGACAUACGAAAGUUACCGAGCAAUCGAAUCUGGUGGAAAUCACGGGGAGAUUCUCAUGCUGAACUACAUGAGUCGACUAGAAUCACUUAAGAUAAGCAGGAUGAGUAGAGAUGAGUUUGAAUUCUCAUUGAAUUUGAAUUUGAAAAAGUUGACUCUCUCCUAUAAUUAUUGGCCGUGGAGUAAAAUUUCUGCAAUUGGAAGAAAGCUGCCCAACCUUGUAGUGCUUAAAUUAUGCCAUCGUUCCGUUCGGGAGGAAGAAUGGGAAAUGGCAGAAGGGGAAUUCUGUAACCUCCGAUUUUUGAAAUUGUCAGGGUUGUACAUUCGCAGGUGGACUGCCUCUUCUGAUAAUUUUUCCUGUCUUGAGAAAUUGGUUUUGGAGUUUUGUGAGGAGCUGGAAGAGGUCCCUCCUUGUUUAGGGGAAAGCGUCACUCUUAAAAUGAUUGAGUUGAAAAGGUGUAGUGAGUCUGCUGUAAAUUCUGUGGAGCAAAUUCUGCAAGAACAGAGAGAAUGGGGAAACAAGGACUUAAAGAGCGUCAUUAUUAGAUCUACUCAGAAAGGGAGUCAAAGCAGAGAAGAAUUCCACUCAUGAGAUUGGUAUGAUCCUUCAAACCAACUGAGCACAAGCAUAAAUGUCAGGAGCAAUUCUGUUGCAUUUUUGAAAGAAUAAGCAGCAUCAACACUUCAAAUUUUUCGAGGUCCAAUAUUUGUUGGUUGCUGAUCAAAGUGGGAAGAGAAGAUCUUUCAAGAAGGGAAAAAAGUACGGUGAAAUAGAUGGAAGAGAAAAAUAUCCUAACUUCUGACUCAUAGAUCAACUGCCAGCUAGAGAAAAUUGGAAAUGAGCAAAAGGCAGGAGUACCAACUGGAUGAAUAUCUUGAUGAAGUAUCCAUUAAUAUAUACUUGUUGGAAUGGGACGGGUGAGCUCAGGAAAGUGGUCUCUACCUCUCUGCAAAUGGCUAUGACAAAUGAUGCCUGAAAGUGAAACUAGCAUUUAAUGAUUCCAUGAUGCCUCUACCAUGAUUCUGCGUUGGUGCAUUGAUAAGUUUGUUGUACAAGUCGUUUUCUAACACUUCAGAAGGCGAACUACAUCAUUGAUUAUAAGUUGCUCAUACUAGUUGUGCAUUAUCCACGUAACUUCCGCUCUUCUAGGAUUGGCUAUGAAAGAUGUUUGUGCAGCAUCUACUUAUUCACUCUCUCUCAUCUUUUGCCGGUCAGUGGAAAGGAGGGUUAUCUGGAAGAUAGCCUGAUAGUCAUUGUCUAUAUAAGAAGUUGAUGCUCAAUGCUGUCAAAAUUUGUCUUGUGCCAUUUGAUAUAAGAUCUGAAAUGGUCAAAGGGUAAAUAUAAUUUGAUGCUAAACUGGCACAGCCAAAGUGGUUUGUUCGUGUCUAAUUCUUAUGCUUUGUUGUGAAAAUUGUAAUGAAAGCCAUUCGUUCAGGUAGUUCUUCAUACUUCCAUUAGCCUUUAAUCUGGAAUUUACUUCACCUGCUUGGUGUUUUGCAGUCAAUAUAUGUUCUCUCUGUUCUUCUCCAACAAUUGCAUCUUUAGAAUUGAAAGACAUUUGGAAGGACCAAAAGUACUAGUCCUACCUUUUUUCUGACGAUACUCAAGAGCAGAUGGUCCAAUUUAGUGUUAGCUUUGUGAUUUACCAAAUAUCUUUACAGUUUUCCCAAUUUAAGGUCCUCCAAGAAUGAGCAUCUGACGUUAAACAGAUAUUGGAACUAUACUCAAAGCUAUUUGCCUGCAAUUGUCAGGUUUAUGUGCUCCAAUUCUCUAUUUUUUUUCUUCUAUUAGUUUGUUUGAUUGAUUCAAUCACCCAAUGGAGCAGAGUUCUACAUAUACAGAAGGACAACCUAAAUAAAACCACAAAGUAGUGCAGCAUGCAUGAAUGACUUGACAGUCUUCAUGCACUACUGGCCUGCAGCAAAUGCCUUAACCAGCCAAGUAUUUAUGAUGCUGUCAAGGUUCUUCAAUUGAAUAUUUCCAGCGGAUGGAUCAUCUAGUAUUUUAUCACCCACUGGAGGCUUUGCAUGAGCUACUUAACCUUCAUGCCCUUCCUGUUUUUGAUAUUGUUCUUGACAGGAAGGGGAACAAGUCUUGCAAGAAUAGCACUAAAAAUUUCAUUUGCCGUUAAUGAAGUGGAAAUGAUUGUUGUAAAUUUGUAAUCAAGUGAAAAAUAUUUGAAUUGCAAGUUUUUUUUUUUCUUAAAAGGAAAACUGUAUAUACUGAAUUGAAUUGGAUAGUGUGUACCCCUCAGUCUUUAACUUGGAAUACAUGAUGGAGAUUUGAGAAGUAUAAGAAGGAUAAAAUUCUAGUUCUUGUUUAUGGUAUUUGUGUCUGUUUUUGUUCGUUACAUGAAUAUAAUUUCGCAUAAUACUGAUAACAACAACAUUCACAAGAUAAUGCUCAUUAUUUACAAUUUGUUCAAAAUACUUUACAAUGAUAAUAUACAAUUUACAGUCUGUUGGAAACUUUAUACAUUGUCCACCUCCCCACUUUUUUCCCUCACUCUUUUUCUUUACAUCUUUCUCCCCAGUCUCCAUAACUAAACCAAAAUUCUCCACAAAAAUUCAUAAGGUCAGUUCAUUUUGAUGAAUUAGCGUUGCCUAAUUACUAAAACUACCCAAACUUGAGCCGAACAAUAAUGUUUUCCAUUUUCCCUUCUUUUCUCUGUAGCCAUGCCCACCAAAAUUAGGCAACCAAUAUGGCCAAUAACAGAGAUUACUAGUGCAAUGAUGUCAAGCAAUCCAGAACAAUGAAAAUGUGAGACUUUAGCCGUGUUUUGCUCAUUUUGCAUAUGUUCUACGAAAUGGUUGAACUUUCUAUUCAUACUAUGUCUUAAGAAAAAUCCUGUUUUGAUUGAAGGAAAUUGUAAUGCUAGCCAUCAAUCAUGAAAAAUGUCUCUUUCUCAUUUCAACCUCUGAUGCCCAUUUACUUCUGGCUUGUCUACCUUUUACUUUGACAUCUCCGAUAAAUUGAUUGAAGUUCAUUUUGUUCAUUUAUGGUGCUUCAUGGAUCUUAGAUUAGUUCAAUAUUUACACUGCAGUAAUCUUCCUUUUUUUUUUUUUUAAGUUACGGAUUUGAUAUCCUAUUGUAAUGGCUCUGGAAAAUAAUUCACAUUUUGAAUUGCCUCAUCAAAAUUGCAGCCUUACGGCACUACCAAAUCUUUACCCCCCCCCCCC